This 504-nucleotide ribosomal RNA is filed under the name uncultured bacterium. RNAcentral describes it as "partial 16S ribosomal RNA". It matches the Rfam family "Bacterial small subunit ribosomal RNA", at positions 30 to 523 of the family's 1533-position model. The record is from RNAcentral.
AUUGAACGCUGGCGGCAGGCCUAACACAUGCAAGUCGAACGGUAGCACAGAGAGCUUGCUCUCGGGUGACGAGUGGCGGACGGGUGAGUAACGUCUGGGAAACUGCCCGAUGGAGGGGGAUAACUACUGGAAACGGUAGCUAAUACCGCAUAACGUCGCAAGACCAAAGUGGGGGACCUUCGGGCCUCACACCAUCGGAUGUGCCCAGAUGGGAUUAGCUAGUAGGUGGGGUAAUGGCUCACCUAGGCGACGAUCCCUAGCUGGUCUGAGAGGAUGACCAGCCACACUGGAACAGAGACACGGUCCAGACUCCUACGGGAGGCAGCAGUGGGGAAUAUUGCACAAUGGGCGCAAGCCUGAUGCCGCCAUGCCGCGUGUAUGAAGAAGGCCUUCGGGUUGUAAAGUACUUUCAGCGGGGAGGAAGGCGGUGAAGUUAAUAGCUUAACCGAUUGACGUUACCCGCAGAAGAAGCACCGGCUAACUCCGUGCCAGCCGCCGCCGUAA